AAUAGAUACCCUGGUAGUCCAUGCCGUAAACGAUGUCUACUAGCCGUUGGGGCCUUUGAGGCUUUAGUGGCGCAGCUAACGCGAUAAGUAGACCGCCUGGGGAGUACGGUCGCAAGACUAAAACUCAAAUGAAUUGACGGGGGCCCGCACAAGCGGUGGAGCAUGUGGUUUAAUUCGAUGCAACGCGAAGAACCUUACCUGGCCUUGACAUACUAGAAACUUUCCAGAGAUGGAUUGGUGCCUUCGGGAAUCUAGAUACAGGUGCUGCAUGGCUGUCGUCAGCUCGUGUCGUGAGAUGUUGGGUUAAGUCCCGCAACGAGCGCAACCCUUUUCCUUACUUGCCAGCAUUUCGGAUGGGAACUUUAAGGAUACUGCCAGUGACAAACUGGAGGAAGGCGGGGUACGACGUCAAGUCAUCAUGGCCCUUACGGCCAGGGCUACACACGUGCUACAAUGGUCGGUACAAAGGGUUGCUACACAGCGAUGUGAUGCUAAUCUCAAAAAGCCGAUCGUAGUCCGGA
This 521-nucleotide ribosomal RNA is filed under the name uncultured bacterium. RNAcentral describes it as "bacterial SSU rRNA". It matches the Rfam family "Bacterial small subunit ribosomal RNA", at positions 777 to 1297 of the family's 1533-position model. The record is from RNAcentral.